CCCUUAGAUGUUCUGGGCCGCACGCGCGCUACACUGAUGCACUCAACGAGUCUCCACCUUGACCGAAAGGUCCGGGAAACCUUCGAACUUGCAUCGUGAUGGGGAUAGAUUAUUGCAACUAUUAAUCUUCAACGAGGAAUACCUAGUAGGCGCAUGUCAUCAGCGUGCGUCGAUUACGUCCCUGCCCUUUGUACACACCGCCCGUCGCACCUACCGAUUGAAUGGUCCGGUGAAGCCUCCGGAUUGGCGCGCACCUCGGUGCCGCCGAGAAGUUGGCUAAACCUUACCAUUUAGAGGAAGGUGAAGUCGUAACA
This 314-nucleotide ribosomal RNA is filed under the name uncultured eukaryote. RNAcentral describes it as "partial 18S ribosomal RNA". It matches the Rfam family "Eukaryotic small subunit ribosomal RNA", at positions 1470 to 1796 of the family's 1831-position model. The record is from RNAcentral.